ACGCUGGCGGCAGGCCUAACACAUGCAAGUCGAGCGGAAACGACACUAACAAUCCUUCGGGUGCGUUAAUGGGCGUCGAGCGGCGGACGGGUGAGUAAUGCCUAGGAAAUUGCCUUGAUGUGGGGGAUAACCAUUGGAAACGAUGGCUAAUACCGCAUAAUGCCUACGGGCCAAAGAGGGGGAUCUUCGGACCUCUCGCGUCAAGAUAUGCCUAGGUGGGAUUAGCUAGUUGGUGAGGUAAUGGCUCACCAAGGCGACGAUCCCUAGCUGGUCUGAGAGGAUGAUCAGCCACACUGGAACUGAGACACGGUCCAGACUCCUACGGGAGGCAGCAGUGGGGAAUAUUGCACAAUGGGCGAAAGCCUGAUGCAGCCAUGCCGCGUGUAUGAAGAAGGCCUUCGGGUUGUAAAGUACUUUCAGUUGUGAGGAAGGGGGURWMGUUAAUAGCKKYRYMUCUUGACGUUAGCAACAGAAGAAGCACCGGCUAACUCCGUGCCAGCAGCCGCGGUAAUACGGAGGGUGCGAGCGUUAAUCGGAAUUACUGGGCGUAAAGCGCAUGCAGGUGGUUCAUUAAGUCAGAUGUGAAAGCCCGGGGCUCAACCUCGGAACUGCAUUUGAAACUGGUGAACUAGAGUGCUGUAGAGGGGGGUAGAAUUUCAGGUGUAGCGGUGAAAUGCGUAGAGAUCUGAAGGAAUACCAGUGGCGAAGGCGGCCCCCUGGACA
RNAcentral lists this ribosomal RNA (723 nucleotides) under Vibrio sp. 12A12. RNAcentral describes it as "bacterial SSU rRNA". It matches the Rfam family "Bacterial small subunit ribosomal RNA", at positions 33 to 735 of the family's 1533-position model. Lineage: Bacteria; Pseudomonadati; Pseudomonadota; Gammaproteobacteria; Vibrionales; Vibrionaceae. The record is from RNAcentral. RNAcentral also lists the same sequence under 3 other names.